AUUGAACGCUGGCGGCAUGCUUUACACAUGCAAGUCGAACGGCAGCGCGGUCUUCGGCCUGGCGGCGAGUGUCGCACGGGUGAGUAAUACAUCGGAACGUGCCCAGCAGUGGGGGAUAGCCCGUCGAAAGCCGGAUUAAUACUGCAUACGACCUGAUGGUGCAAGCGGGGGACCGAAAGGCCUCGCGCUCUUGGAGCGGCCGACGCCGGAUUAGGCAGUUGGUGGGGUAAAGGAUUACUAAGGUGACGAUCCGUAGCUGGUCGGAGAGGACGAGCAGCCGGCCUGGGACGGUGACACGCCCCAGAGGCCUUGGGGAGGCAGCAGUAGGGAAUUUUGGAGAAGGGGGGCAAAACUGAGCCAGACAGGCGGAGUGCGGGGAAGAAGGCCUUCGGGUUGUAAACCGGUUUUGUUCGGGAAGAAAUGCUCUGGGCUGAUACCCCGGGGGGAUGACGGUACCGGAAGAAUAAGCACCGGCUAACUACGUG
This 485-nucleotide ribosomal RNA is filed under the name uncultured bacterium. Its description in RNAcentral is "partial 16S ribosomal RNA". It matches the Rfam family "Bacterial small subunit ribosomal RNA", at positions 28 to 507 of the family's 1533-position model. The record is from RNAcentral.